Molecule: ribosomal RNA, 513 nt
Filed under: Triticum aestivum (bread wheat)
Lineage: Eukaryota; Viridiplantae; Streptophyta; Magnoliopsida; Poales; Poaceae
Description: partial small subunit ribosomal RNA
Source: RNAcentral
AUGCCUUACGAUGAGCAGUACACACCGUACAUCAAGCAGGCAGGACUACUCCCGUGGAUUCUGUUGGUUAGCCGGUCCAUGCCGAAUCUGAACGCUCCACUGGUGUCUGCUCUUGUUGAUCGGUGGAGGCCAGAGACCCACAGUUUCCAUCUUCGGACCGGGGAGAUGAUCGUGACGCUCGAGGAUGUCUCGUUGAUCACCGGUCUUGCUAUCGACGGGAGGCCUCUAUGUAUGAGCACCGAUUCUGAUGGGUGGCGCGAGCAGAUGAUUGCUCUUAUCGGUAUGGCUCCUAUCGAGGCUGAGGAUGAUGUAGAGGAGGGAGAAGAGAAGAAGAAGAGGGAAAGGAAGGCAGCCGGAGCUGCUUUCACAUGGAUUCAAAAUAACUUUGCGACGUGCCCUCCGGAUGCAACUGAUGAUGUGAUCCAGACACAUGCUCGUGUGUAUAUGUGGUACAUUGUGUCGAGGACUUUGUUUCCUGACUCCACUGGCAAGAACGCUCCAUGGAUGUGGCUG